Cyprinus carpio (common carp) is the source of this 694-nucleotide long non-coding RNA. RefSeq lists it as uncharacterized. Lineage: Eukaryota; Metazoa; Chordata; Actinopteri; Cypriniformes; Cyprinidae. The record is from RefSeq and is a predicted model, not a curated record.
AUAUCCAACACGCAUGUGCUGCUCGUACUAGGAAGUGCCCCUUUAAAACGCGAAGUACGCAUGCGUCAUAUCCUUUCUUCCCAAGCGUGGAAGGAGCUGGUCACAAGUCCUACACGUUGCAGUAUAACUUGAGGAACCAGAUGAUUGCUGCAGUCAAUGGAAGGAUCCUGGCCUUUGCAACUGGAAAUGGGUGACAUGAGAAGUGCAGAUGAAUAAAAACCGGUCAUUUUAAAAUGGGUCAAAGGAUUGCCACUGGACAAGGGUGACAUGAGAAGUGCAAAUGAGAAAUAACUGGUACAAGGGUCGCCACUUAGAAAACAGUGACCUGAAAAGUGCAGAUGAAUUAAUGGUACAAGGGUCGCCACUUAGAAAACCGUGACCUGAAAAGUGCAGAUGAAUUAAUGGUUGCAUAGGCUUGCACAAAAUGCAAGAUCUGUCUGCGGAAUUCUUCCAGCGCAAGGUCCCUCUGGUGCAAGGAGUCCAGGUCACGGAGAGCACAGGGAAACACCACAUUGGGUGGAAAAACAAGCGCAGAGGCCCCUGCAUUCCCAAGACAAACUUUUCUUAUUCCCAAACUCUGGAACAUGCACUCACUGAAACAGGAGCUUGAUCCUAACUAUAAACUAGUAAUGAAGUGCUAAAAGGUGAAUGGGUUAUGAUGAUUUUACAUAUUGAAAUAAAUUAUUGAAACAUU